Molecule: long non-coding RNA, 771 nt
Filed under: Betta splendens (Siamese fighting fish)
Lineage: Eukaryota; Metazoa; Chordata; Actinopteri; Anabantiformes; Osphronemidae
Description: lncRNA (ENSBSLG00000002995.1)
Source: RNAcentral
AUGGCUGCCAUCGGAGCAGAGGUCACCAGCUCAUUCUUCCUGCCGCCGGGAGUCGUCAGCGUCUUCAUCCUCCUCCUCCUCCUCUCCAUCUUCCUCACGUCUCUCUGCAGCGACUGUGGCAGGUUGGUGGUUCUAUUCUCAUGGAUGCAUGUUUCACUGGCGCCUCUCAGCAUCUCUGUUUACGUUGCUCACGUUGCUUCAACGACCAACAAAACGUUGACGUCUGUGCUUCGCUGUUUUUCCAGACGUUCGUUUGAGUUGCAAGAAUCAAGUGUAGACAAACAUCCCUCAUCCCUCAUCAAAGUGGUGAAGCUGGAGGACGCCAUGACGGCCCGAGAGAAUCCCAUGAUCCACGAGAUCCAGAGCGACGAAAAAGAGAAUCACCUGAAGGAGGGAACCCGAGUCCAGGCCGCUGCACCGAGCAGCCACAUGGUGGCGCCACCGCUCAACCAAGCGGUACGAGCUGAGGAGGAAGCCUCGGCCCAGUUCACCCCGUGGAGGAGCCACCUGACGGGAGCUCACAGCCGAGAUCACAUCUACCACACCAUUGGAGAGGAGCAGGCUGCGCCAUCACCUGCGGCCAAUCAGGAGCCUCGUUCCGAAGCAGCAGCGGAGGGUCUGGGCGGCAGCAAUGUGAACUCAGUUUACGCACAAGUCAGCAAGAAGGCGACAAAGACCCCGACCGCCGCCACCGUCCAUCCACCUGAACAGGUGCAGGAGGAGGAGGAGUCACCACCGCUGCCUGGCAGGACCGCGGACGUGGAGGCAUGA